CCUACGGGAGGCAGCAGUGAGGAAUAUUGGUCAAUGGGCGGAAGCCUGAACCAGCCAAGUAGCGUGCGGGAUGAAGGCCCUACGGGUCGUAAACCGCUUUUGCACGGGGAUAACACCCUCCACUUGUGGAGGUCUGCAGGUACCGUGCGAAUAAGGGCCGGCUAAUUCCGUGCCAGCAGCCGCGGUAAUACGGAAGGCCCGAGCGUUAUCCGGAUUCAGUGGGGUUAAAGGGUGCGCAGGCGGGCGUUCAAGUCAGCGGUAAAAUCGCGCGGCUCACCCGCGCCAAGCAGUUGAAACGGGAUGCUUUGAGUGCGGCACAGGCAGGCGGAAUUCGUGGUG
RNAcentral lists this ribosomal RNA (339 nucleotides) under uncultured bacterium. RNAcentral describes it as "partial 16S ribosomal RNA". It matches the Rfam family "Bacterial small subunit ribosomal RNA", at positions 338 to 675 of the family's 1533-position model. The record is from RNAcentral.